Molecule: long non-coding RNA, 483 nt
Organism: Cucumis melo (muskmelon)
Lineage: Eukaryota; Viridiplantae; Streptophyta; Magnoliopsida; Cucurbitales; Cucurbitaceae
Exons: 3
Source: RefSeq, a predicted model, not a curated record
UUUUACAAAAUGCGAGUGUAUGUUUUCGAAACUUCAAGUCGUCGCUAACUACAAAACAUGUAUUACCAUAUAAGAAAGAUUUAGAGAAACUAAAAGACCCACCAACAGAAUACUCUUUCAUCGAUCGUGAGCAUUGGAACAUAUUUGUCGCUUCCAGAUUAACCGAACAAUUUGAGAUGGUUAGCAACAAGGGUCGUGAGCGGAGAAAGAACAACAAGUACAACCACCGAAUGUCGCGAAAAGGUUAUGCAAACCUUACCGAAGAGAUGAAAGCAAGCACAUCUAAUGGUGAGUUAAUUGAUCGUGCUUUAGUAUGGAAGAAAGCACGAACUACUAAAGAUGGAGAGAUUCCAGACAUAGACACAAAGGAGGUGGCCAAUAAAAUUGUAAGUACUUUCCUCUUGUAAGGGUGUUUUUUUUUUUUUUUUUUUUUGUACUUACUAAAAAUACUAUAACCUUUUCAUGAUAGGACAACCUACUUGU